UCUACGGGACGCAGCAGUCGGGAAUAUUGCACAAUGGAGGAAACUCUGAUGCAGUGACGCCGCGUAUAGGACGAAGGUCUUCGGAUUGUAAACUAUUGUCGUUAGGGAAGAUACAAGACAGUACCUAAGGAGGAAGCUCUGGCUAACUACGUGCCAGCAGCCGCGGUAAUA
RNAcentral lists this ribosomal RNA (171 nucleotides) under uncultured bacterium. RNAcentral describes it as "partial 16S ribosomal RNA". It matches the Rfam family "Bacterial small subunit ribosomal RNA", at positions 338 to 525 of the family's 1533-position model. The record is from RNAcentral.